CGCGGCGUGACGAAAGCGCUAGCAGCGAAAUAUUACGAGCACG
Molecule: unclassified non-coding RNA, 43 nt
Filed under: Sorangium cellulosum So ce56
Lineage: Bacteria; Pseudomonadati; Myxococcota; Polyangiales; Polyangiaceae
Description: sce_s2m_59
Source: RNAcentral